This 439-nucleotide ribosomal RNA is filed under the name uncultured bacterium. Its description in RNAcentral is "partial 16S ribosomal RNA". It matches the Rfam family "Bacterial small subunit ribosomal RNA", at positions 339 to 795 of the family's 1533-position model. The record is from RNAcentral.
CUACGGGCGGCUGCAGUGGGGAAUAUUGCACAAUGGGGGGAACCCUGAUGUAGCAACGCCGCGUGGAGGAUGACGCAUUUCGGUGUGUAAACUCCUUUUAUAUGUCAAGAAAAUGACGGUAGCAUAUGAAUAAGCACCGGCUAACUCCGUGCCAGCAGCCGCGGUAAUACGGAGGGUGCAAGCGUUACUCGGAAUCACUGGGCGUAAAGGACGCGUAGGCGGGUUGGAAAGUCAGGUGUGAAAUCCUACAGCUUAACUGUAGAACUGCACUUGAAACUUCUAAUCUAGAGUAUGGGAGGGGGAGAUGGAAUUAGUGGUGUAGGGGUAAAAUCCGUAGAUAUCACUAGGAAUACCUAAAGCGAAGGCGAUCUCCUGGAACAUUACUGACGCUAAGGCGUGAAAGCGUGGGGAGCAAACAGGAUUAGAUACCCGGGUAGUC